Molecule: transfer RNA, 71 nt
Filed under: Danio rerio (zebrafish)
Lineage: Eukaryota; Metazoa; Chordata; Actinopteri; Cypriniformes; Danionidae
Rfam family: tRNA
About the family: Transfer RNA (tRNA) molecules are approximately 80 nucleotides in length. Their secondary structure includes four short double-helical elements and three loops (D, anti-codon, and T loops).
Source: Rfam by way of RNAcentral
GCAUUGGUGGUUCAGAGGUGGAAUUCUUGCCUGCCACGUGGGAGAACUGGGUCCAAUUUCCGGCCAACGCA